CACGUAGGGUGCGAGCGUUGUCCGGAAUUAUUGGGCGUAAAGAGCUCGUAGGCGGUGUGUCGCGUCGGCCGUGAAAACCUGCAGCUUAACUGUGGGCUUGCGGUCGAUACGGGCAUCACUGGAGUUCGGCAGGGGAGACUGGAAUUCCUGGUGGAGCGGUGAAAUGCGCAGAUAUCAGGAGGAACACCGGUGGCGAAGGCGGGGCUCUGGGCCGAUACUGACGCUGAGGAGCGAAAGCGUGGGGAGCGAACAGG
Molecule: ribosomal RNA, 254 nt
Filed under: uncultured bacterium
Lineage: Bacteria
Description: partial 16S ribosomal RNA
Rfam family: Bacterial small subunit ribosomal RNA
Source: RNAcentral